RNAcentral lists this ribosomal RNA (305 nucleotides) under uncultured bacterium. RNAcentral's name for it is "bacterial SSU rRNA". It matches the Rfam family "Bacterial small subunit ribosomal RNA", at positions 332 to 655 of the family's 1533-position model. The record is from RNAcentral.
UGAACCUACGGGGGGCAGCAGUGGGGGAUAUUGCACAAUGGGCGAAAGCCUGAUGCAGCGACGCCGCGUAUAGGAAGAAGGUUUUCGGAUUGUAAACUAUUGUCGUUAGGGAAGAGAAAGGACAGUACCUAAGGAGGAAGCUCCGGCUAACUACGUGCCAGCAGCCGCGGUAAUACGUAGGGAGCGAGCGUUAUCCGGAAUUAUUGGGUGUAAAGGGUGCGUAGACGGGAAAGCAAGUUAGUUGUGAAAUCCCUCGGCUUAACUGAGGAACUGCAACUAGAACUACUUUUCUUGAGUGCAGGAGG